Thalassophryne amazonica is the source of this 507-nucleotide long non-coding RNA. RefSeq lists it as uncharacterized. Lineage: Eukaryota; Metazoa; Chordata; Actinopteri; Batrachoidiformes; Batrachoididae. The transcript has 2 exons. The record is from RefSeq and is a predicted model, not a curated record.
AGGACACUCGAAGCUUGUAUCCGGUGGCCCUUUUCUCUAAAUUUGCGACCACAUUCUGAACAGCCAAAUUGUUUUUGUCCUUUGUGAAUUAUCAUGUCUUGUCAGCGUGCCCUUUUGUCCAAAUCUUUGACCACAUUAGGAACACACAAAUUGUUUUUGUACUGUAUGAAUGAUCAUGUGUCUUGUCAGCGUGCCCUUUUGUCCAAAUCUUCGACCACAUUCAGAACAGCCAAAUUGUUUGUGUCCUGUGUGAAUUAUCAUGUGUCUGUUCAGGUCGCCCUUUUGUCCAAAUCUUUGAUCACAUUCAGAACACACAAAUCGUUUUUGUCUUGUAUGAAUUAUCAUGUGUCUUUUCAGGUGGCCCUUUUCUCUAAAUCUGCGACCGCAUUCAGAACAGCCAAAUUGUUUUUGUCCUGUGUGAAUUAUCAUGUGUCUUGUCAGCGUGCCCUUUUGUCCAAAUCUUUGACCACAUUCAGAACACACAAAUUGUUUUUGUACUGUAUGAAU